Molecule: long non-coding RNA, 1396 nt
Organism: Cyprinus carpio (common carp)
Lineage: Eukaryota; Metazoa; Chordata; Actinopteri; Cypriniformes; Cyprinidae
Exons: 2
Source: RefSeq, a predicted model, not a curated record
UGGCCCCUGACCCAGCAAACUUGAUAUCAUUGGGGGUGAAUUCGGCAGUGCUGCCAAAAUCAUACCCCCCUAUAUUAAACCCUUAUUAUUGAAUCUAAACAUCUGUGCUUUUUUGCAGGUAUUCUACGGGAUGAGAUGUGUCUCCAGAAUGAGUUUAUUUGGCCCCUGACCCAGCAAACUUGAUAUCAUUGGGGGGGGUAUGAAUUCGGCAGUGCUGCCAAAAUCAUACCCCCCUAUAUUAAACCCUUAUUAUUGAAUCUAAACAUCUGUGCUUUUUUGCAGAUAUUUUACAGGAUGAGAUGUGUCUCCAGAAUGAGUUUAUUUGGCCCCUGACCCAGCAAACUUGAUGUCAUUGGGGGGGUAUGAAUUCGGCAGUGCUGCCAAAAUCAUACCCCCCUAUAUUAAACGCUUAUUAUUGAAUCUAAACACCUGUGCUUUUUUGCAGGUAUUUUACAUGAUGAGAUGUGUCUCCAGAAUGAGUUUUAUGGUUCUCUGAAACAGCAAACGUAAUAUCAUUGGGGGGGUAUGAAUUCGGCAGUGCUGCCAAAAUCAUACCCCCCUAUAUUAAACUCUUAUUAUUGAAUCUAAACACUUGUGCUUUUUUGCAGAUAUUUUACAGGAUGAGAUGUGUCUCCAGAAUGAGUUUAUUUGGCCCCUGACCCAGCAAACUUGAUAUUAUUGGGGGGGUAUGAAUUCGGCAGUGCUGCCAAAAUCAUACCCCCUAUAUUAAAUGCUUAUUAUUGAAUCUAAACACUUGUGCUUUUUUGCAGGUAUUCUACGGGAUGAGAUGUGUCUCCAGAAUGAGUUUUAUGGUUCUCUGAAAUAGCAAACGUAAUAUCAUUGGGGGGGUAUGAAUUCGGCAGUGCUGCCAAAAUCAUAACCCCCUAUAUUAAACGCUUAUUAUUGAAUCUAAACAUCUGUGCUUUUUUGCAGGUAUUCUACGGGAUGAGAUGUGUCUCCAGAAUGAGUUUUAUGGUUCUCUGAAACAGCAAACGUAAUAUCAUUGGGGGGUAUGAAUUUGGCAGUGCUGCCAAAAUCAUACCCCCCUAUAUUAAAUGCUUAUUAUUAAAUCUAAACACUUUUGCUUUUGCUUUUUUGCAGAUAUUCUACAGGAUGAGAAGUGUCUCCAGAAUGAGUUUAUUUAUGAAUUCGGCAGUUGACAAAUAUGCUGUCAAAUAUGAUGUAUUUCAUGUAAAUUAAAUUCUGUUAUGCUGUAUGAAGCACACAUGUGCAUACAACCAUGUACAUACUAUCUGUGUAUUUUAUUGUACUGUACUGUAAUUGCUUUAGUGUACUGCUGUUGUUGUUUCUGUGUACUGAAAAGCUCCUUCUGUUACAAGAAAUUAUUUUUCUGUGUAAACAUAUUUGGCAAUAAAGGUCUUUCUGCUACCUCUGA